Melitaea cinxia (Glanville fritillary) is the source of this 231-nucleotide long non-coding RNA. RefSeq lists it as uncharacterized. The record is from RefSeq and is a predicted model, not a curated record. NCBI's taxonomy places the organism in Eukaryota, Metazoa, Arthropoda, Insecta, Lepidoptera, Nymphalidae. The transcript is spliced from 3 exons.
UUUAUUUAUGAACUGAAAGAAAUAAAGAAAGAAAGAAAGAAAAAAACGUUUAUUUGAUCACAAACCAGAGACAAGAACAAUAGUUUAAAAUGACUAUACAAAGCAACAUACACAUACUACUCUUACACACUUCAAACCAUCGCGUGCCUCAGGAAUGCGCCAAAUUGGUUCGGUUCGGCAUUAGUCAGAUUGCCAUAGUAAAAAUGGUACCUGACACUGGUUUUCAACCAA